UGGAGAGUUUGAUCCUGGCUCAGAUUGAACGCUGGCGGCAGGCCUAACACAUGCAAGUCGAACGGUAACAGGGAGCAGCUUGCUGCUCUGCUGACGAGUGGCGGACGGGUGAGUAAUGUCUGGGAAACUGCCUGAUGGAGGGGGAUAACUACUGGAAACGGUAGCUAAUACCGCAUAACGUCUUCGGACCAAAGUGGGGGACCUUCGGGCCUCAUGCCAUCAGAUGUGCCCAGAUGGGAUUAGCUAGUAGGUGGGGUAACGGCUCACCUAGGCGACGAUCCCUAGCUGGUCUGAGAGGAUGACCAGCCACACUGGAACUGAGACACGGUCCAGACUCCUACGGGAGGCAGCAGUGGGGAAUAUUGCACAAUGGGCGCAAGCCUGAUGCAGCCAUGCCGCGUGUAUGAAGAAGGCCUUCGGGUUGUAAAGUACUUUCAGCGGGGAGGAAGGYGKUGWGGUUAAUAACCKYAKCRAUUGACGUUACCCGCAGAAGAAGCACCGGCUAACUCCGUGCCAGCAGCCGCGGUA
Molecule: ribosomal RNA, 528 nt
Filed under: Cronobacter sakazakii
Lineage: Bacteria; Pseudomonadati; Pseudomonadota; Gammaproteobacteria; Enterobacterales; Enterobacteriaceae
Description: bacterial SSU rRNA
Rfam family: Bacterial small subunit ribosomal RNA
Source: RNAcentral